This 435-nucleotide ribosomal RNA is filed under the name uncultured bacterium. RNAcentral describes it as "bacterial SSU rRNA". It matches the Rfam family "Bacterial small subunit ribosomal RNA", at positions 79 to 507 of the family's 1533-position model. The record is from RNAcentral.
AUUGAACGCUGGUUAGUGGCGGACGGGUGAGUAACGCGUGGGUAACCUGCCGUAUGCAGGGGGAUAACAGUUAGAAAUGACUGCUAAUACCGCAUAAGCGCACAGUAUCGCAUGAUACAGUGUGAAAAACGAUAGUGGCAUACGAUGGACCCGCGUCUGAUUAGCUAGUUGGUGGGGUAACGGCCUACCAAGGCGACGAUCAGUAGCCGGUCUGAGAGGAUGAACGGCCACAUUGGGACUGAGACACGGCCCAGACUCCUACGGGAGGCAGCAGUGGGGAAUCUUCCGCAAUGGGCGAAAGCCUGACGGAGCAAUGCCGCGUGAGUGAUGAAGGAAUUCGUUCCGUAAAGCUCUUUUGUUUAUGACGAAUGUGCAGACUGUGAAUAAUGGUUUGUAAUGACGGUAGUAAACGAAUAAGCCACGGCUAACUACGUG